GAUCAUGGCUCGGGACGAACGCUGGCGGCGCGCCUAACACAUGCAAGUCGAACGAGCGAGAGAGAGCUUGCUUUCUCGAGCGAGUGGCGAACGGGUGAGUAACGCGUGAGGAACCUGCCUCAAAGAGGGGGACAACAGUUGGAAACGACUGCUAGUACCGCAUAAGCCCACGACCCGGCAUCGGGAAGAGGGAAAAGGAGCAAUCCGCUUUGAGAUGGCCUCGCGUCCGAUUAGCUAGUUGG
Molecule: ribosomal RNA, 242 nt
Filed under: uncultured bacterium
Lineage: Bacteria
Description: partial 16S ribosomal RNA
Rfam family: Bacterial small subunit ribosomal RNA
Source: RNAcentral